GAUGAACGCUAGCUACAGGCUUAACACAUGCAAGUCGAGGGGAAACGAUAGAGAAAGCUUGCUUUUUCUAGGCGUCGACCGGCGCACGGGUGAGUAACGCGUAUCCAACCUGCCCAUCACUUGGGGAUAACCUUGCGAAAGUAAGACUAAUACCCAAUGAUAUCUCUAGAAGACAUCUGAAAGAGAUUAAAGAUUUAUCGGUGAUGGAUGGGGAUGCGUCUGAUUAGCUUGUUGGCGGGGUAACGGCCCACCAAGGCGACGAUCAGUAGGGGUUCUGAGAGGAAGGUCCCCCACAUUGGAACUGAGACACGGUCCAAACUCCUACGGGAGGCAGCAGUGAGGAAUAUUGGUCAAUGGACGAGAGUCUGAACCAGCCAAGUAGCGUGCAGG
This 390-nucleotide ribosomal RNA is filed under the name uncultured bacterium. RNAcentral's name for it is "bacterial SSU rRNA". It matches the Rfam family "Bacterial small subunit ribosomal RNA", at positions 28 to 407 of the family's 1533-position model. The record is from RNAcentral.